RNAcentral lists this unclassified non-coding RNA (2120 nucleotides) under Leishmania donovani. Its description in RNAcentral is "gene:LdHU3.29.1240(CDS-product:guanine_deaminase_ putative)". Lineage: Eukaryota; Euglenozoa; Kinetoplastea; Trypanosomatida; Trypanosomatidae. The record is from RNAcentral.
CGUUGUGCGCAUUGUCUUCUGGACGUAUGUCUGAAGAGUUAUUGUGAGUGAGGUUCACACUUUUCUCGUUUCUCGACGAGUACCGCCCACGUUUCAAAAGAGCGCCUUUUUACCACCCACCCACACGAAAAGAUAUCUACAAAUACAUUAAUCACUCAUAUCUUCUGCGCAGGUGAGGAUGCCUGUUCAGGCGUUUUUGGGAACCGUCUUUGAGACGCCGGACCGGCACACACUGAACAUUAUCCAGGACGCCCUGGUUGUGGUGCAAGACGGCACCAUUGAACAGGUCAUCAAUCCGGCAACUGAUGCUGCAACCUAUGCAAGCGUGCUCGAGGCGGCUUCGGCCGCCGGCCACCUCACUCGCCUCCAGAAGGGCCAGUACCUGAUCCCUGGACUCAUUGAUCUGCACGUCCACGCUCCGCAGUGGCCGCAGCUUGGCAUGGCACUUGAUAAGAGUUUGGAUACGUGGCUGCAGCAGUACUCGUUCCCGUUGGAGGCGCGUUACAAAGAUCUGGAGUUCGCGGAGAAGUCGUACAGCUCACUCGUGUCCGCGCUGCUGGCGAAUGGAACGACGACGGUGGCGUACUUUGCGUCGAUUCACCUAGAGGCCAGCCUGCUCCUUGCACGUAUCUGCUUGGAGAAGGGACAGCGAGCAGUGGUGGGUCGUGUUGCAAUGGACCUUGCUGAUCAGUGCCCAGAGUACUACCGAGACGCCUCGCCGAAGGAGUCAGUGGCGCAGUCGGAGGCUUUUGUGCAGCAGGUGCGCGCGCUGAAGGGCAAUACUGAAGGCCUCGUGCUCCCGGCGGUGAUCCCUCGUUUCAUUCCGAGUUGCAGCGAUGCGGCGCUACGUGGACUGGGUGAGCUGGCGAAGAGCUAUGGCUGCCAUGUGCAGACACACUGCUCCGAGAGUGAUUGGGAGCACAACCAUGUGAUUGAGCGGUGCGGCAAGCAUGACGCCCUUGCGCUCGAUGACUUUGGACUUUUGACUCGACGGACUGUCCUGGCGCACUGCAACUACCUUUCCACGGAGGACAUGCAACUGGUAAAGGCGCGCGGGGCAGCUGUGGGCCAUUGCCCGCUGUCUAACUUCUACUUUUCUGGUGCGGUCUUCCCGUUGAAAAAGGCUUUGGACAUGGGUGUGCAUGUGGGCAUGGGCACGGACAUCUCUGGAGGUCCGAGCGCCUCGCUGUUUGACGCGUGCCGCUACGCACUCGCGGCGGGCCGCGCGCUGGAGAGCGGCACCGAUCCGUGUCUGAGUGCUACAGAGCGCAGCCAGCACAGCGGCGCCCGCGUGAGCAGUGUGGAAGCGUUCUUCGUGGCUACUGCGAAUGGUGGCAUCUCCCUCGACCUCAAGGUCGGUCGCAUCGCUCCCGGCUAUAUGUUCGACGUAUUGGUGAUCGACACCACGCUUCCGAACAGCAGCCUGAUGAUCUUCGAGGGCAUCGACACCCUGGAGGACGUCUUCCAGAAGAUCGUCUACAACGCGGCGCCGCACAACAUUCUGCGAACAUACGUGAAUGGACGUCUGGUCUCGCAGCACUAAAGUAGAUGCGGGUAACAUCAAACGGCGUGACUCACCGCUACAGGCAAUGCGCGUUGCGCUGGAGGAAACCGUUACAACGAGUAAACCGAUCAAAAAAAAAGGCGAGAUGGGGUCCCGCGGGACCGAUAGGCUACCUAUUCGCACCGUCUUUUUGCGAAAAUAGACCAGCGCUGUCUCGCAUUCUGGUAGUGGGCGGAAAUGAAAGGGUGGAGAGAAGCAAAGCGGCAAUACGUGGCCCAAUUCAACUCCGUACCUGUUCUGACCCCCUCUCCUCAUUAUCUUUCCUUCUGGUUCUUAUCCAAACCUCCUUUUUUUCUUUGAGCUGCAUAUUGAGCAUGCCGAUUAGUGCGGUUAGACGGAGCGGGAAACAGGGUAUGGCUGGAGGGAAAGGUCCGACUUCCUCUUCCUCGUGGAGAUGUGCGUAUCUGACGGCCCACUCUCGGAGUACCUUUCAUCCGCACCCCACAGCUGGUGACUAGUUGAAGUAGCCAGGCUGGCAAUCAGGCUGUUUCUUUUCCCCAUCUCUUACUUUGCUUGGGGUUCAAGGAGUUGUAACGUAUUGGGAGUGCGCAUGAAG